Myotis davidii is the source of this 405-nucleotide long non-coding RNA. RefSeq lists it as uncharacterized. The transcript has 4 exons. NCBI's taxonomy places the organism in Eukaryota, Metazoa, Chordata, Mammalia, Chiroptera, Vespertilionidae. The record is from RefSeq and is a predicted model, not a curated record.
UUGAGCGGUUACGAGGCCGUCCACGAUGGUUGCAGUUUUGGUCCUUGUUACGGGACACUGGGGGCGAGUGACUCCUCAGUUGUAGCGGGGCCACUCUCAACCUGCUCUCUGUCCUGGGGUCCAAGGACAAGAAGUACAUCAAUGGGGUCAGUGCUUUCAGGCUUCUGAGCUUGGUUAGUGGGAGGAAGCACAGACAGGAAAUGCAGGAUGAGAAGAGAAUGAGGACACCCAUCACCUCUACAUGAAUCAAAGUUGAUCUUGGUUUACACUGGACUCUCUUUCCUGCUGCAGUAGUUAGGAACUGAGGCUAUGAAAAUGGAUUCCAGGAUUAGCCCUAAAAAGCAAAUUCUCAAGGUAGAAUUUUGGAGUUGUAUUGUCUACUUGACUAUAGGCAAUAGAGACCAC